Molecule: long non-coding RNA, 3410 nt
Organism: Thunnus maccoyii (southern bluefin tuna)
Lineage: Eukaryota; Metazoa; Chordata; Actinopteri; Scombriformes; Scombridae
Exons: 3
Source: RefSeq, a predicted model, not a curated record
CUGUACGUCUCUGACGCAUGUCUGUCAAAAUAUUAUUUUUUUUCCUUCAAAAUAAAAGACAAGUCCGACAUCAGAUGCGCAUUAAAUAUUAUUUAUUUAUUUAUGACCAGCUGUCUGCGACCCACCAGUUGAGAAUCACUGGUGUAAAAUAAUAUUUAUAUGAAAGUCAUAUUGUAAUUAUUUUAUGUAUGAGACCACAGCUGUAGGACAUGAACAAAAGUGUUUCGACCCAUAAAAAUGCUUCAUAAAUUUUAUUAAAUCACAUUAUUUAGUAAAUAUUUCACAUGUUAAGAUGUGUAAUAACACUGUGUAUAUAUUUAUUAAACGUCAUCUGACAAAUUUGAACAUAAAUCCAAAAAAUUUCCAGCGCUGGGACUUAAAACUGCUUGUAGUUGCAGAAACAUCUGGACACAGAAUGAAAAACACGUCACGACUCAAACUGCUGAACGUUUUAUCAGGUUUUAACAAAGUUUGAACGUUCAGCUUCAGCUCCAACCGGACGACUCCUAACACAGUUGUUCAUUUUUCUGCUCUGAUGAUUCGACCAGGACAGUUUCACGGUCAGCCAGCUGUCAGUCACUGACAUCGUCUAUGAGAACAUGAAGCCGACUUUUACUGCAGGAACUCUUCAAAGAAAAGCAGAAGAAAAGUGCAUCCAGCCAUCUCCUCUUGAAUCCUGCAGCUUAUAAGAGCACAUUGAUCUCCCAGCAGCCGUAAAUCACCGUCUGAUCCAAGAAUCUACCCGAGUAUAUGAGAACUUAUGAGGAUCUAUGAGAACGAGUCGUAUUUCAACCAUCUAACAGGAAAAAAUGCAAUAAAAAGCAGAGCGUGUGGCGGCAGAACCAACAUGAAGCUGCUGAUGUGAUGUUGUUGUUGGCUGGCAGGACAGAUGGAGAGAUAGAUGGAGAGUGAAAGAUGGAAAAAAGUGCCUCCUCCACUGCUGUUUAUGUUCCGCUGUUACAGAGAAGUUGACUCAACAGUUUGUGACUGUUGGAGAGUCAGACGGUUUCUCUCCUACUGUAUCAAUUAGUCAAAAUGCUUUUGUUUACAUGUGAUUAUGGACAGAUAAUGAGACGACAGGCUCCUAUGGACAGACAUACACCCCUCCGACAUAACAGCAAGACCCCCGACGGAAAACUUCUGUCCAUUUUGUGUUGUUUUCUGUCUCUUUUUAGUUGUUUUGAACCACUUUGUGAUCCUUUUAGGCUCUUUUUGUGUCUCUUUUUAUUCUCUUUAUGUCUGUGAUAGUAAGCAACGUGUGCAAAGUGAGGUUCAUGCAAAGUGUUGGAACAACUCAGUCUCCUAAAAAUGAUGUUUAUAUAAUCAUUUGUUUAGCCGAAUAAAUUCUGUAGAAAACCUCGUGUGUAGUUUUCCAUCAUUGAGCUGAGGAGGCUGCUGAUUGGUCCACGCACAGCACAAACCGAUGACGUGUUAAUCGCCACACACACCUUUGUUCUCUGAUUCCCUUCAUCCAGGUGAGCCUGAAUAAUUCCCACUGUAUGUAAAUCUGAAUGUAAAUCUCCUACCGACCCUCCCAGCCGGCUGGUUUCCACGGUAACGACCUUUUGCAGCGGUAUAAGCUGCUGCCGGAGGCGGACGGAUGCCAGCGCUGAUGAAGAAAGGCCUUUGUGUUUGUGUGUGUGUGUGUUUGAGUUCUAUAGAUCUAAUAUCACAAUGAGCUUAGUGCAGCUGAACCAGGCCGCAGGCUAACACAGCUACUAGCUAACAGCUGCUAACAAGCUACACUUGUUUAUGUUGUGCUCAGGAAAUAACAAGAUGGAACCCGACCAAACGAGUGAUCAGCAGCAUGUGAUCACACACACACACACACACACAUUGUAAAGUAAACAUAAAGACGCCUGCAAGGAUUAAAUGUUUCUUCAACUAAUCAGACUGAACAUUUAUCUUGAAUGUUUGUAAAAAUGUUCACUGUCAGCUGUUUCAGUGCAGCAGGAGUCGAUGAAGACUCACUGUGUUUCUCUUUCUGCUCAUUUUGAGUCUCUUUGACAUUGUUUUGUGCCUCCUAAAAAUGUUGUUAUACAUUAAAUGUUUAUGUACUUAUAAUUUUUUUUUAUAAUUUUAGCUUUCUUGUGUGUGCAGUGCAUGAAGGUAGUUAUCUCUCAGUUAGUGUCCAUUGAUUGUAGACUUCCCUGUGUAAUGUCACACAUGCUGUAAUGGACUGGACAGUAAAUAAUGAAUGAUCCUUUCACUGAAGUCCUCUAUGAAUACUUUCUGAUACAGACCGUCAGUUUGAUUUCUUGCCUCUGAUGUCAGUUUAUUUCUAAGGAAACUGUCCUGCAGAGCUCUGAGUCUGUUGGUCCGUCAAACGCUUUGGGCUACAAGAUAUUUUGACAGCUAUUGACUGGAUGUCCUCAUUCAUGUUCUCCAGAGUAUAAUCAUCAUGAUUCAUUAUUAGGGGCUACAGGGACCUUAAGAAAUCAGUUUGGUUCCACUGCUGUUAAGACUUUAAGAGGAGAUAAAUCAUCAGGAUGUCUCUGUAAUGAACUCUGCAGCCUCCAGAGGACUGUAGACUGUUAGUGUUAGUGAGAGUUAGUAACUUCCUGUCUGCUCUACUGAGCACACUUGGACAGUUUGGUUUGAAUGUUGUGGUUAAUAAACCGGUUUUAGGUUUCAGCUCUGGCAGAGUGAACGGAGUCCUGCAGAGACGCCGACAGACCGGACGGUUUCAGAGGAAGCUGGUUUCCAGUGAAGAACCGGGAGGAGCGGCAUGCGGAUGAUUCAGCCAAUAAUCCGCAGUGAGGUGAUGAAUCAUGAGACACAGUUGAUGGAGAAGAAAAGAAGUGUGAAAACAUCAAAACUCCUGCAACACUUCUGGUAUAAAGAACUUUAUGAUGAGACCAACGUGUUUCAUCUUGUAGCCUUCAGCGUGGUCGUGAGUGGGUCUGAUGAGUGUUGCUUAUCUUCCAACUUCUGUCUGUUCAUCAGUCAGUCAGCUCAGUGAAGACAAAUAAUGAAUCAUUUCUAAAUAGCACUUAAGUAUUGAGUCAGUUGUGGUUAAAAUGGUAUUUGUAAGAUGAGAUGUAUUUUUGUAAAGGUGUAAAAAAAAAAAACCCCAUUUGAGCCACAAAUCAAACAUAUUACAAGAACUUCACUUGUUUAACUUUGCCCCAUUUUAUCCAAUUCAGGUGCUGAAAUCCUCGUACACACCUUCAUAACAUCCAGAAUCGAUGGUCUACCGAAGAACACAACAAAGGUCUCCGGUUGGUCCAAAAUGCAGCGGACAGUUCACAAGAUUCUAUACUUCACUGCUCAAUUCAACUAAAAACCUUUUGGUGUUAUAACCUUUGCUCUCCUUCUUUGGAAUAAACUACUGCUGCACAUUCAGGACAGAAGUGUGCACACAUGCAAAAACAGCUGAGUUAGCUGCUGCUAAGCUAACAAUCACAUUG